GUGUAGCUUAGUGGUAGAGCACUUGCCUGGUAUGUGAGAGGCGCUGGGUUCCACCCCCAGCAUAAACA
Molecule: transfer RNA, 68 nt
Filed under: Cavia porcellus (domestic guinea pig)
Lineage: Eukaryota; Metazoa; Chordata; Mammalia; Rodentia; Caviidae
Rfam family: tRNA
About the family: Transfer RNA (tRNA) molecules are approximately 80 nucleotides in length. Their secondary structure includes four short double-helical elements and three loops (D, anti-codon, and T loops).
Source: Rfam by way of RNAcentral